RNAcentral lists this ribosomal RNA (465 nucleotides) under uncultured bacterium. RNAcentral describes it as "partial 16S ribosomal RNA". It matches the Rfam family "Bacterial small subunit ribosomal RNA", at positions 339 to 795 of the family's 1533-position model. The record is from RNAcentral.
CUACGGGCCGCAGCAGUGAGGAAUUUUGCGCAAUGGGGGAAACCCUGACGCAGCAACGCCGCGUGAGUGAUGAAGGCCUUCGGGUCGUAAAGCUCUGUCAAGUGGGAAGAACCUAUAGGAUGUUAAUAUCAUUUUAUACUGACGGUACCACUGAAGGAAGCACCGGCUACCUCCGUGCCAGCAGCCGCGGUAAUACGGGGGGUGCAAGCGUUAUUCGGAAUUAUUGGGCGUAAAGAGCGCGUAGGCGGCCAGUUAAGUCAGAUGUGAAAUCCCGGGGCUCAACCCCGGAAGUGCAUUUGAAACUAAUUGGCUUGAGUAUGGGAGAGGGAAGUGGAAUUCCUGGUGUAGAGGUGAAAUUCGUAGAUAUCAGGAGGAACACCGGUGGCGAAGGCGACUUCCUGGACCAAUACUGACGCUGAGGCGCGAAGGCGUGGGGAGCAAACAGGAUUAGAUACCCGAGUAGUC